GACAGAGGGUGCAAACGUUUGUUCGGAUUUACUGGGCGUAAAGCGUGUGUAGGCGGCUUGGCAAGUUGGAUGUGAAAGCCCACGGCUCAACCGUGGAAGCGCACCCAAAACUGCUUCGCUCGAGUCUCGGAGAGGAAGGUGGAAUGCUUGGUGGUAGAGGUGAAAUUCGUAGAUAUACAAGCAGAACGACCGUGCGGCGAAGGCGGCCUUCGUGG
This 215-nucleotide ribosomal RNA is filed under the name uncultured bacterium. RNAcentral describes it as "partial 16S ribosomal RNA". It matches the Rfam family "Bacterial small subunit ribosomal RNA", at positions 524 to 732 of the family's 1533-position model. The record is from RNAcentral.